Molecule: non-coding RNA, 204 nt
Organism: Oryza meridionalis
Lineage: Eukaryota; Viridiplantae; Streptophyta; Magnoliopsida; Poales; Poaceae
Source: Rfam
AAUAAGUAUAGUUCUACACUGUUCACGUUUAAAAUUUAACCAUUCGUUUUAUUUAAAACUUUUUAUGAUGAGUAUUUAUUGUUAUUAAAUAAUAAAAUAUAAAUAGUACUUUAUAUGUGACUAUUUUUUUUUAAUUUUUUCAUAAACAUUUUAAAUAGACGGACAGUCAAACGUUGAACAUGGAUACCUACGGCUGCACUUAUU